Molecule: ribosomal RNA, 465 nt
Filed under: Vreelandella stevensii
Lineage: Bacteria; Pseudomonadati; Pseudomonadota; Gammaproteobacteria; Oceanospirillales; Halomonadaceae
Description: partial 16S ribosomal RNA
Rfam family: Bacterial small subunit ribosomal RNA
Source: RNAcentral
CCUACGGGCGGCUGCAGUGGGGAAUAUUGGACAAUGGGGGCAACCCUGAUCCAGCCAUGCCGCGUGUGUGAAGAAGGCCCUCGGGUUGUAAAGCACUUUCAGUGAGGAAGAACGCCUGGUGGUUAAUACCUAUCAGGAAAGACAUCACUCACAGAAGAAGCACCGGCUAACUCCGUGCCAGCAGCCGCGGUAAUACGGAGGGUGCGAGCGUUAAUCGGAAUUACUGGGCGUAAAGCGCGCGUAGGUGGCUUGAUAAGCCGGUUGUGAAAGCCCCGGGCUCAACCUGGGAACGGCAUCCGGAACUGUCAAGCUAGAGUGCAGGAGAGGAAGGUAGAAUUCCCGGUGUAGCGGUGAAAUGCGUAGAGAUCGGGAGGAAUACCAGUGGCGAAGGCGGCCUUCUGGACUGACACUGACACUGAGGUGCGAAAGCGUGGGUAGCAAACAGGAUUAGAUACCCCAGUAGUC